Molecule: small nucleolar RNA, 94 nt
Filed under: Theobroma cacao (cacao)
Lineage: Eukaryota; Viridiplantae; Streptophyta; Magnoliopsida; Malvales; Malvaceae
Description: Small nucleolar RNA snoR8a
Rfam family: Small nucleolar RNA snoR8a
Source: Rfam by way of RNAcentral
GGAGUUAGUGAUGGUUAUAAAAAUAAUUCCUUAUUUUGACUUGUUUAACUUGGACAUGACAAACCUCUUAUUACAACCAUAGAAUCUGAGCUCU